RNAcentral lists this ribosomal RNA (531 nucleotides) under uncultured bacterium. RNAcentral's name for it is "bacterial SSU rRNA". It matches the Rfam family "Bacterial small subunit ribosomal RNA", at positions 777 to 1314 of the family's 1533-position model. The record is from RNAcentral.
AAUAGAUACCCGGGUAGUCCACGCCCUAAACGAUGUCAACUAGCUGUUGGGGCCUUCGGGCCUUAGUAGCGCAGCUAACGCGUGAAGUUGACCGCCUGGGGAGUACGGUCGCAAGAUUAAAACUCAAAGGAAUUGACGGGGACCCGCACAAGCGGUGGAUGAUGUGGAUUAAUUCGAUGCAACGCGAAAAACCUUACCUACCCUUGACAUGUCUGGAAUCCUUAAGAGAUUAGGGAGUGCUCGCAAGAGAACCGGAACACAGGUGCUGCAUGGCUGUCGUCAGCUCGUGUCGUGAGAUGUUGGGUUAAGUCCCGCAACGAGCGCAACCCUUGUCAUUAGUUGCUACGAAAGGGCACUCUAAUGAGACUGCCGGUGACAAACCGGAGGAAGGUGGGGAUGACGUCAAGUCCUCAUGGCCCUUAUGGGUAGGGCUUCACACGUCAUACAAUGGUCGGGACAGAGGGCUGCCAACCCGCGAGGGGAGCCAAUCCCAGAAACCCGAUCGUAGUCCGGAUUGCAGGCUGCAACUCG